GACGAACGCUGGCGGCGUGCUUAACACAUGCAAGUCGAACGGAAAGGCCUCUUUCGGGGGGUACUCGAGUGGCGAACGGGUGAGUAACACGUGAGUAACCUGCCCUUGACUUUGGGAUAACUUCAGGAAACUGGGGCUAAUACCGGAUAGGAGCUCCUGCUGCAUGGUGGGGGUUGGAAAGUUUCGGCGGUUGGGGAUGGACUCGCGGCUUAUCAGCUUGUUGGUGGGGUAGUGGCUUACCAAGGCUUUGACGGGUAGCCGGCCUGAGAGGGUGACCGGCCACAUUGGGACUGAGAUACGGCCCAGACUCCUACGGGAGGCAGCAGUGGGGAAUAUUGCACAAUGGGUGGAAGCCUGAUGCAGCAACGCCGUGUGCGGGAUGACGGCCUUCGGGUUGUAAACCGCUUUCGCUCAUGACGAAGCUUUGUGUGACGGUAGUGGGUAAAGAAGCGCCGGCUAACUACGUG
This 467-nucleotide ribosomal RNA is filed under the name uncultured bacterium. Its description in RNAcentral is "partial 16S ribosomal RNA". It matches the Rfam family "Bacterial small subunit ribosomal RNA", at positions 28 to 507 of the family's 1533-position model. The record is from RNAcentral.